GCGAUCGAAAGCAUGCGCCGCCUGCCGGCAGCGUUUGCUUUUUCUCGCGAGGGGAGACGUGCGACAUUUACUUGAAUCUAUGGUAAAGGACCCUCAUUUUUCAGCUGUUCCAAGAAGAAUGCUACCAAGCCACUGACAAGAGAAAGUAAAAGCUAUCCUGGCAAGCUUUAAAGAUCAUGGACUUUCUGAAGUGUGGUUCAUGUGGCACCAUUUUCCAUGAGCUUGACACCG
Molecule: long non-coding RNA, 231 nt
Organism: Dermacentor silvarum
Lineage: Eukaryota; Metazoa; Arthropoda; Arachnida; Ixodida; Ixodidae
Exons: 3
Source: RefSeq, a predicted model, not a curated record